Molecule: ribosomal RNA, 577 nt
Filed under: Pheggomisetes globiceps
Lineage: Eukaryota; Metazoa; Arthropoda; Insecta; Coleoptera; Carabidae
Description: partial 16S ribosomal RNA
Rfam family: Bacterial large subunit ribosomal RNA
Source: RNAcentral
AAUGGCUGCAGUAAUUUGACUGUACAAAGGUAGCAUAAUCAUUAGUUUUUUAAUUAAAAGCUUGUAUGAAAGGCUGGACGAAGUAAAUUCUGUCUCUUUUUAAGAUAAUUAGAAUUUAAUUUUUAAGUUAAAAAGCUUAAAUUUUUAUAAAAGACGAGAAGACCCUAUAGAGUUUUAUAAUUUUAAAGAAAUAAUUAAUUUAGAUUUAUUAUUUUUAUUUUUUUAUAUUUAUUUUAUUGGGGUAAUAAAAAGAUUGAAUUAAUUCUUUUUUAAAAAAUACAUUAAUUUAUGAAAAAAUGAUCCAUUAUUUAUGAUUAUAAGAUUAAAUUACCUUAGGGAUAACAGCGUAAUUUUUUUGAAGAGUUCAUAUCGAUAAAAAAGUUUGCGACCUCGAUGUUGGAUUAAAGAUUAGUUUAGGUGUAGAAGUUUAAAUUUUUGGUCUGUUCGACCAUUAAAUCUUUACAUGAUCUGAGUUCAAACCGGUGUAAGCCAGGUUGGUUUCUAUCUUUAUAGUAGUUUUAUGUUUUAGUACGAAAGGACCAAAUAUAUAAUAUAUUAAUAUUUAAAUUUUGAAUAU